GGCCUCAUCGUCUAACGGUUAGGACGCGGCCUUUUCAAGGCUGCAAUCGGGGUUCGAUUCCCCGUGAGGUCA
Molecule: non-coding RNA, 72 nt
Organism: Parcubacteria bacterium C7867-003
Lineage: Bacteria; Candidatus Parcubacteria
Source: Rfam